CCUACGGGUGGCAGCAGUGGGGGAUAUUGCACAAUGGGGGAAACCCUGAUGCAGCGAUGCCGCGUGAAUGAAGACGGCCUUCGGGUUGUAAAGUUCUGUCGCAGGGGACGAAAAUGACGGUACCCUGCAAGAAAGCUCCGGCUAACUACGUGCCAGCAGCCGCGGUAAUACGUAGGGAGCAAGCGUUGUCCGGAAUUACUGGGUGAAAAGGGAGCGUAGGCGGGAGGAUAAGUUGAAUGUGAAAUCUAUGGGCUCAACCCAUAGCUGCGUUCAAAACUGUUCUUCUUGAGUGAAGUAGAGGCAGGCGGAAUUCCUAGUGUAGCGGUGAAAUGCGUAGAUAUUAGGAGGAACACCAGUGGCGAAGGCAGCUUACCAAUCUAUAUCUGACGUUGAGGCACGAAAGCGUGGGGAGCAAACAGGAUUAGAUACCCGUGUAGUC
RNAcentral lists this ribosomal RNA (439 nucleotides) under uncultured bacterium. Its description in RNAcentral is "partial 16S ribosomal RNA". It matches the Rfam family "Bacterial small subunit ribosomal RNA", at positions 338 to 795 of the family's 1533-position model. The record is from RNAcentral.